GUCACUUUGGUAGAGUGGCCUAAUACGUUGCCCUGCUAAUACUAGCAUGUUAGGCAAUCCCUUCGGGGGCGCAGGUUCGAAUCCUGCAGGUGACG
Lasiosphaeria ovina is the source of this 95-nucleotide non-coding RNA. The record is from the annotation of a GenBank genome assembly. Lineage: Eukaryota; Fungi; Ascomycota; Sordariomycetes; Sordariales; Lasiosphaeriaceae.